AUGUACCCCAUGUCUGUCACUCCUGCUUGCAUGGUUAUGAAGAUCAUCCAUCUUGAGCAAUUUCUAAUGGAGUAAUGCUGCAAGGAGUAACUGGCACUCAUCUGUUGUGGAACUGUGUGAUUCUGAUGAUGUUUCAUAGCAUCGGUUCAAGUUUUGCAUCACCAACUCAGCAUGUUUUAGAAAAAAGUGAAGUGGCGCCCAGCAAAUUUAAAGUGAAACUGAAAGAUGCAUCAGAAGCUCUUGUAAACUUCUUUGCUCCAGUGACAUGCCGUCACAAAGACAAGCAAGCCUUAAUUCCUUGUCCUGUAGGAGAGAGCAUUAACACAACAGAAUGCUUGGAAAAUAAAUGUUGUCCUUCCAAAACCAGCCAUGAACUGAAAUGUUAUACCCCGUUUAAAGACAAUCUGCAGCUGACAUUUCGAUUGUUUGUGCUUGGAGCAGGAGGAUUUUUUAUUUUGGGGUGUCUACCAUUUUGUUGCUGUGCCUGUUUGCAGAGGAGUCAAUGUUUCAAUCCUUUACGAAGUGCAAGUAAAGAAGUAGAACAAAUUGUGCAGAAGAAAAGAGCACAUAGUGAAAAUAAUCAYGGCUUUUUAUCGGAUUUACUUAAGAAAAACUCCAAGGGCCAUAAGAGCAAGAAAAAAGAGGAACAUUCAGCUGAUCUCGAAGACCUCAAGCAGGACAAGGACACCAGGCUUACUUGA
This is a long non-coding RNA of Apteryx haastii (Great spotted kiwi), 701 nucleotides long. The record is from Ensembl. NCBI's taxonomy places the organism in Eukaryota, Metazoa, Chordata, Aves, Apterygiformes, Apterygidae.